This is a long non-coding RNA of Leopardus geoffroyi (Geoffroy's cat), 1884 nucleotides long. RefSeq lists it as uncharacterized. The transcript is spliced from 2 exons. NCBI's taxonomy places the organism in Eukaryota, Metazoa, Chordata, Mammalia, Carnivora, Felidae. The record is from RefSeq and is a predicted model, not a curated record.
UAUUUUAUAUGAAUGUUGGGUUAAACCCGCUUGGGGAAGAGAGGGGUCUUGACAAAUGGAAAAGUGAUAUAUGACAGAAACCAAGGCUUAGAGAACCCCCAAACUCCUAGGUUUAUCUAAAACAGUUCUCAAUUGUGGCACAUCCACAGUUGAGUGUUACAUCCACAAAAAUUAUAGGAGGAUGCUCACUUAUGCCAUGAAAAUAUGGAGAAUAUUUGCAGGGAUGGAUUUGAGGGUUCUUGACCAAGAAAAUGGAAAUGGAAUUUUUAGAUGAAGCCAAAUUAAUCGAUAAGAUCACACUUGUCACUGUGGUUGCCUGGGUAGCCAGCUAUAUUUCUAACAGUGUACUGAGCUGGUUAAUCCCCACAACACUGCAAAGCUGGGAAUAAUUUGGGCCAAAAGAAGGGAUAAAAAAAUUUUAGGGGAUAGCAGUGUGGGUUUAGAUCUGUCGUGCAAUCUGUCCCUGGACCCCUCAGAGGUGCCCUAAUGUAUUCGAGAAGACUCUCAGUUUAAUUUUGCCACAAGGAAUGGAUUAGUGAAGGAGGUAUCAGAAUCUUUAAAAAGCACUUGACUGGCUGCCCUUUCUAGGCUGAGAAUGCUGAUGGAUAGGGCCACAUAAUCUCAGUAGGGGUGGCAGAGUCCUAUGACACAAAGGUACAAGUAGAGGGCAUGGUCAUCACAUAGCAAGGUAAAUGCGAGGAUCAAAUCUCAGGGGAAUCUUACCAUAGUGAGUUUAUGAAAAUUUAUUUUUGAUUGUAGGAGCUAUAUGUGACUAUUUUAUAUUGCUAAAAAUUAAAACAAAGAGAAUUUAAAAAAUAAGAAUCCAUAAGAUAUGAAUAAGAAAAUAGAUAAAAAGCAAAGCCUCCCUAGAUGCCUCCCUCUAGUGCCUCUCACUUUCGUGAAAUGCUCAGCAGAAAUUCUCCACUGCAGAAGAGGUUCUUGAUACUAAGACGUUCAAGAUGGCUCACUCUGUAAAUGCAGGUUCUCUUUUGUCUCCAGCCAGCCCGGUGCUUGCUGAAGGGACUUGUCAACACAGUGGCCCUGGUGUCGGUGGUAGAGGCUCUGCAUGGGCUUCAACAACUUGGACUUUCUGUCUCCAAGGCUGCCCUGGUCCAUGCAAAGGCUGAGGGCUCAGGUGGCCAGCAACAGCGACCAGUUCGGACUUCUGGACUUAGCAUUACACCUCCAGGCACCUCGCCAGUUCUCUGCUGGCAAAUAUGUUAUGGUGGAUCUCUUCCAUCGUGGGGAGUGGGGAGCAGUAAUUUUAGAUCUUAUGUAAUGACUUCCUUUAUGAUAGCUGCGGAUCAUCUCUCAUCCUGCCAUCCUCUCUGCUUCCCUUCUGUAUCCUUUCAACAGAACUUCUGAUUGAGUCAAUAUUCAGUAUUUACACGAUACCUAUGCAAAUAUUAUACAGAGUCAAGCAUCAUGAUAUAUUAUGAUCAUAUUUCUUAUUUUGUGCUUUUCCUGAGGUUAAAAAUUGCUCAUUUAAAUUUUUUUUCUUGUCUUUCUUUGUGCCAGUUACUGAUUUAAAUUGCCUUUCAGUAUAAUUUUAUGUGUCCCAGGAUAAAUACUAAUGGAGACCUACACACCACAUGUCUAAAUGUUCAAAAGCUGUAAAUCAAACUACUAAAUAAAAUCUCUUUUCUUCUCUAGACUUGACAUAUAUACCUUUACAACAAAACAAAAUUAUCUCAGGCUGUGGUUUUUGAGAUAAUGAUGCCUGUGAAUUAUUAGACAACUGAAUUUUAAUUUUUAUUGCAAAUGUCUGUGUUAGUGAUGUUUGGGAUAUCAGAUGGCAUUCAGUCAUCGUGUUCCAUUUGUCUCUAUUCUGUGACCAUUGUUUGAUCUUUCCUGACCAUAACAGUUUCAAAGAGUGCUGGUCAG